ACGAAGCCUUCGGGCUUAGUGGCGGACGGGUGAGUAACGCGUGGGAACGUGCCCUUCUCUACGGAAUAGUCCCGGGAAACUGGGUUUAAUACCGUAUACGCCCUUCGGGGGAAAGAUUUAUCGGAGAAGGAUCGGCCCGCGUUGGAUUAGGUAGUUGGUGGGGUAAUGGCCUACCAAGCCGACGAUCCAUAGCUGGUUUGAGAGGAUGAUCAGCCACACUGGGACUGAGACACGGCCCAGACUCCUACGGGAGGCAGCAGUGGGGAAUCUUAGACAAUGGGGGAAACCCUGAUCUAGCCAUGCCGCGUGAGUGACGAAGGCCCUAGGGUCGUAAAGCUCUUUCACCAGGGAUGAUAAUGACAGUACCUGGAGAAGAAACCCCGGCUAACUCCGUGCCAGCAGCCGCGGUAAUACGGAGGGGGUUAGCGUUGUUCGGAAUUACUGGGCGUAAAGCGCACGUAGGCGGAUUAGUCAGUCAGAGGUGAAAUCCCAGGGCUCAACCUUGGAACUGCCUUUGAUACUGCUAGUCUUGAGUUCGAGAGAGGUGAGUGGAAUUCCGAGUGUAGAGGUGAAAUUCGUAGAUAUUCGGAGGAACACCAGUGGCGAAGGCGGCUCACUGGCUCGAUACUGACGCUGAGGUGCGAAA
This 646-nucleotide ribosomal RNA is filed under the name Roseicyclus elongatus. RNAcentral's name for it is "bacterial SSU rRNA". It matches the Rfam family "Bacterial small subunit ribosomal RNA", at positions 66 to 758 of the family's 1533-position model. Lineage: Bacteria; Pseudomonadati; Pseudomonadota; Alphaproteobacteria; Rhodobacterales; Roseobacteraceae. The record is from RNAcentral.